CCUCAAAGAUGUGAAAAUGAGCAGCCACAGCCAGACAGGAAUUAAUUGGUGGAAAAACCUGGCAAGACUGGAUGUUUUUGCGAACAUGUGCAAUUUGCUGGAAAACGAAUCUGAAAUGCCAUGUGUAUCUUGAUAUUUUAACCAGUUAGAGAAAAUUUGAUUAGCUUUCAUUUGAGGGGUGUCCCAUCCUUCAAUGAAAAUUAGGGGAGAAGCUGUGUGAGAAAACAUUAACAUUGUUACCUAUGGGAAAUGUAUUAGUGGACUGUAUCCAGACUGAUGGAUAUGUUGACCCUCUAAGAUGUGAAAAUGAGCUUCUACACCAGACAGGAAUUGGUGGAAAAACUAGCUGGAAAAGGCAAGACUGAUGGAUGUUGACCCUCUUAGAUGUGGAAAUGAACAGCCACAGUUAGACAGGAAUUGGUGGAAGCCCUUCUUAACAACAAGACUUAUCCCUGUGAAGAACUGUCACUGAUCAGUGUGCUUUGAUGACAGUACCCAGUAGGAGACUCAGAUAAAGUCUUGUGGAUGUGCUUGACAUUAUGAAUGACAAGGAGCCCUCAGAAAAUAAAAGUAUUGAAGAGGCAUAUCCUUGUGAUCACAUGUGGAGAAAGACAAAGAUAGAUGACAGAUGUAGAAAGCCAGAUUAUUUUGCAUACACAAGCACAUCCAGUUUACAAUGUUAUAAUCCAAAACAAUUUUUUUUGAAACAUUUGUUUUGGAAAUGGGUGUCUGAGUUGUAAGAGGUAUGGGGUCACCCACUCAGACACGUGGGUUUUCUCCGGGGGCUCCGGUUUCCUCCCACACUGACCCCAUUCUUUUUCU
Long non-coding RNA from Saccostrea echinata, 822 nucleotides. RefSeq lists it as uncharacterized. Lineage: Eukaryota; Metazoa; Mollusca; Bivalvia; Ostreida; Ostreidae. The transcript has 4 exons. The record is from RefSeq and is a predicted model, not a curated record.